This 472-nucleotide small RNA is filed under the name Pan troglodytes (chimpanzee). RNAcentral describes it as "processed transcript". The record is from RNAcentral. Lineage: Eukaryota; Metazoa; Chordata; Mammalia; Primates; Hominidae.
UGACACCCCCUCCCAACACACAGGGGGCUCCCCCCGCAGCAGCCACAGCAGCCGCUUCUGAAUCUCCAGGGCACCAACUCAGCCUCCCUCCUCAACGGCUCCAUGCUGCAGAGAGCUUUGCUUUUACAGCAGUUGCAAGGACUGGACCAGUUUGCAAUGCCACCAGCCACGUAUGACACUGCCGCUCUCACCAUGCCCACAGCAACACUGGGUAACCUCCGAGGCUACGGCAUGGCAUCCCCAGGCCUCGCAGCCCCCAGCCUGACAGCCCCCAGCCUCACACCCCCACAACUGGCCACUCCAAAUUUGCAACAGUUCUUUCCCCAGGCCACUCGCCAGUCCUUGCUGGGACCUCCUCCUGUUGGGGUCCCCAUGAACCCUUCCCAGUUCAACCUUUCAGGACGGAACCCCCAGAAACAGGCCCGGACCUCCUCCUCUACCACCCCCAAUCGAAAGGAUUCUUCUUCUCAGA